CGGGGUGUGGCUCAGUUUGGUAGAGCGCACCGUUCGGGACGGUGAGGUCGCGUGUUCAAAUCCCGUCACCCCGACCA
RNAcentral lists this transfer RNA (77 nucleotides) under Clostridia bacterium. RNAcentral describes it as "tRNA-Pro". It matches the Rfam family "tRNA". Rfam says of the family: Transfer RNA (tRNA) molecules are approximately 80 nucleotides in length. Their secondary structure includes four short double-helical elements and three loops (D, anti-codon, and T loops). Lineage: Bacteria; Bacillati; Bacillota; Clostridia. The record is from RNAcentral.